GUGCUCGCUUCGGCAGCACAUAUACUAAAAUUGGAACGAUACAGAGCCUGUCUCUUAUACACAUCUAGAUGUGUAUAAGAGACAGGGGCAAGGGUGACACGCAAAUUCGUGAAGCGUUCCAUAUUUUU
This 128-nucleotide small nuclear RNA is filed under the name Cervus elaphus hippelaphus. Lineage: Eukaryota; Metazoa; Chordata; Mammalia; Artiodactyla; Cervidae. The record is from RNAcentral.